This is an RNA transcript of Halichondria panicea, 3944 nucleotides long. It is a transcript of the gene named ATP-binding cassette sub-family F member 3-like, with no coding region annotated. The transcript is spliced from 11 exons. The record is from RefSeq and is a predicted model, not a curated record. NCBI's taxonomy places the organism in Eukaryota, Metazoa, Porifera, Demospongiae, Suberitida, Halichondriidae.
ACUAGAUAUCAAGAUGAAGGCAGCCUUGAUAGCAGCCACGGUCCUCACACUGGUCUGCUCCCUUCAUAAAGCCAGCUCUCUGGGGAAGCUGAACGUACCAGUGGUUUACUUCCCUAUGUCCCCUCCAGCACUGGAGUCAAGGUUGAGCACUAAACCGGACAUAGUGUCAGUGAAGCCGCUGUAUUUGGAGCGAGGUGCUAUCGGGAGGCAGAACUCACGGCUCAGUCCACUCAGCCAAUCAGAUUGAGCAGUAUUAGCAUCGCUGAGGAGAUUGGUGUUGGAAAGUCCACCCUCCUCCGCUCUAUGGCGUGUUGUGAGCUGCGUCUACCAGCUGGUGUGAGUGUACUACACGUGGAGCAAGAGGUCACCGGGGACAACACAUUAGCACUGGAUAGUGUACUCGAGUGUGACACUGAGAGAGUGCAGCUACUCGCUAGAGAGGGGGCCUCAGAGGACAAGGACACAGCAGCAGGCAGCGCUUCUGAUGAACUGGCUGAGGCAUACCUUCCACUACAGGAGAUAGACGCUGACAAAGCACCAGCAAGAGCUGGCUGUAUUCUGGCUGGUCUGGGGUUCACUCCACAGAAGAAUGAGAUUUUAUCUGGCCAAGACACUUUGCAAGGUAAGCAGUUUUUGUGAGACGGAAGUGCUGACAUUAAUUAAUCUUCUGUUUUCUGGGGUAAGGCGUGGGUGUUUUUUUAGAAUCAGGCCUGUUUUCAGAGCUAUCUUUUAGCUGCCAUAACUUGAAUUCCGUGGAUACAAUUUCAAUGGUUUUUUGAUUUUCUGAAAGCUUAAAAAGAGACCUUUCAAAUGGUGUCAUCAAAGUUUAUAUUCGAGAGAUAAAAGUAUUUGCCAAUUUGGCCAUACCAUGAAUAAUAUCCCAUGGUCCAAGGCGGAAAAAUUACAAAUUAGGGCCCCAACAAAAUUUUGGAUCGAAACACAUCAUUUGAAAGGUCUCUUUCUAAGCUUUCAGAAAAUCAUGACAUUUUUGACAUUGGAUCAACGGUAUUAAAGUUAAUGGCUGUUGAAAAAUCAGGUUUGUUUUUAGAGCUAUCUUUUAGAUGCCAUAACUUGUGUUAGGAACGUCCUAUUUAACAAACUCAAAGACGCAUUCUGUAGCUCUGAGAAAGCACUAUUGUAUACAAUUAAAGUGUCUUAAAACCGCUAAUUGCUCGCAGUGCCAAAGCUCACUAAUUUGUGUGUCCUAUGCUGUAGAUGUGGGAACACGGAACCAUCGUUGGUUGUGUGCAGUGUAUUAUAGUCGUACCCCCGGGUUUGAAGUGAUCCAUGGACUACUGGACCGUGUCAUGCAGCUGCUGGAGGUGUCCUUCACCAAAGAUGGCAGUGGAUACUUCCUGAAGGCAGCUGAAGUUCCCGGGCCUUUGUGCAGAUGUGUGUGUACGUGGGAAGGUGAUCGGGAAACUGGGCGUGCUCCAUCCUGGUGUGUCUGUUGUGCAGCUCUAGUGUGUGUGAGACUUUGAGGUGUGUCUGGUGCAGCUGUUCUCACGGCCUCCUCCAACCAGUACCUGCCCUCCGUACUCUCCAGGGAGAACCUAUUUCCUCAGGGUCUCCAUGGUGAUAUGGUGCUGUUAGCGGGCAGCAACACUGGUAUGGCCAAGGUCAAGGUCCGUCUGAGAGAGAUGGCGUUACAGGGGGUGGAGCCUGAUAUCAUCAAGCUACUAGUCAUUGAGAACAUGAUGCUACAACCCUCCAUGGAUGUGUACAUUCUGCCACUGCCACCCACGGAGGUCAAGGGUCACCGGACUGGACGCCAUCCUACAAGACAACUAAAUUAUUGUGUGUGGAAUCUUUUGUGCCGAGCCUGUUUCCAUGACGAUAAGACCAGUGAUUGGUCAUAUGCCAAACUGCCCUCUAUUGACUCAGACCAAAAAUCACAAUAUUCAGUUUUUCCUGUGCGGCCUUCCAAAUGAAAUAACACUGUAUGGGGCGUUUGUCAACUUCACAUCACUGCAUUGGAUGUGGUGAUUGUCCAAUCAGAAUGCUCUACCCACCCCCCAGACCUCCUCACUACAACACAAGGACUCAGAUAAUCGAUGCUGCAUUGAGAGAGUUAGAGCUCCUGUUACUAAAACUAUACAAGACAGAGGACUAAGUCUAAGAAGAGUGCUACACGUAUCUCUAAAGGCAAGUUUUAUGAAAAUGCUGAUUCAGCAAAUAUUAAUGUUAGGCGUACGGUUGUCGGACCUCCUCUGCACACACACACACAAACACACUACCGUAACCUCGCUUGCGCAUGCGCACCGAGGCAUAAUUAUAGUUGGCCCAAUUUCAGUUCAAUACCGUGAACUACAGUCCUGGUCUUUUUCUAAUUUUGUGUAGCAUUCAAAAUGUGGGGGUUGAUUGCGCCAUUUUAUAGAGCUUCUUCUUAGGUUUCAUAAAACCAUAAAACUAUUGAAAUUGCAUACAUACAAAAUGCACACAUACACCUACACACACCACACACACACUCACACACACACACACACACACACACACACACACACACACACACACACACAUGCACACACACACACACACACACACACACACACACACACACACACACACACACACACACACACACACACACUAUGCAAGUGACCCCCAAACACCUCGUCAUUCCCUGGGACCCCCAAACAGAGUUCAAAUACCAGCACCAAUUGAAUGUGAGUGUGCUAGCUAGCUUGUUAGAGCUAAACCUGUGUAGGGUACCAGCUACAUAGGCUUGUACAUGGCUUGUAAUAAUAAUUACCGUAUAGCGAGUAAUUUACGUGAGGUGGAAAUGUUCGUAUUUUUCGUAUUGUAGAGCAUCAUACGAAAAUGAAAACUGCUCUACCGCUAUAGGUUCAACGUCACUAUCCUGAGCUAUACCAAUAUUUAGAAUACAAAGUGCACGUAAGAACAGUUCAUACGAACAUUUGCAUCAAAGAAAAGUGUAGUAGACAGUUGUAUAAUUCCGAUUGUAACAGAAUGAGCUCAUAAAGAAGAUUAUCCAUGCAACUCCCACGCACACUCCAUUCUGAUCUGUUUAGAAUAAAUCUCAUAUUUGGCCGACAUUGAUGAAUUAGCAUGCAGGGGAGGGGGUAGUUGAACAUCUUUCAAUAGCCAUAACUUUAGUUCCGUUGAUCUAAUGUCAAAACUCUCACGAUUUUUCUGAAAGCUUAGAAAGAGACCUUUCAAAUGAUGUUUUUCGAUCUAAAAUUUUUUUGCAGCCAGAAUUUGUUGUUUUUCGGAAGUAAUGAACUUUGAUGUCUCUUUCUAAGCUCACACAAAAUCAGAAAAUCGUUGAAAUAAUUAUGAUCCACUGAAUUCAAGUUUUGGCAACGUAAACAUGCACUCCUCAGACCAUUGAUUAAACUGAUGGGGUUGUUGAACGGCCCUAACUUUAGUGUUAUUGAUCCAGUGAAAAGUCCUAGAGCAAAUUUUAGGAUGAGGGGGGGCUGGUGUUUAAUAAUUAUGUUUAAAAGCUCCCUCUAAUUUACCCCUGUGAUUAACCCCCCCACACACACACACACACACACACACUCACACCCACACCCACACACACACGCACGCACACACGGCCACGGGGCAGACACUGCGUUGUGACGUAUUUGUAGCGUAUUGAGAUCACAACUCGUACGAGGGAGCUGCUGUUGGGGGAGGAGCCCGAACGUUUCAGUGUGCAGGCUUUUUACGAGGAAGUCUCAUGCAUGGACAAAGAUGAUGUGUACAGUUUUGGAGUGCUUGCUUGUGAAGUGGUGAAUGCCAGAUUUCCUGAAGCUGCUGUAUUUCUUGGUCUGCUAUCGAGUAUGGAAGGUGUAUGGCGGGAGCUCCACCCACUCAUCACCUCCUGUGUCUCUCACUCCCCUCAGGACAGACCCUCCAUGGACACAGUGCUACACCACAUCAAACAAUUGGACUCUGAGUCUUAGCAUUGGUGCAUGAGUGUGUUAUUAUUAAUU